GUGACGUAAGCCAAGCGGUUACGGCACCAGGUUGUGAUCCUGGGUUUGACGGGUUCGACUCCCGUACGUCACCCC
This 75-nucleotide transfer RNA is filed under the name Streptomyces phage Percastrophe. RNAcentral describes it as "tRNA-His". It matches the Rfam family "tRNA". From Rfam's summary of the family: Transfer RNA (tRNA) molecules are approximately 80 nucleotides in length. The record is from RNAcentral. Lineage: Duplodnaviria; Heunggongvirae; Uroviricota; Caudoviricetes. RNAcentral also lists the same sequence under 4 other names.